This 253-nucleotide ribosomal RNA is filed under the name uncultured bacterium. Its description in RNAcentral is "partial 16S ribosomal RNA". It matches the Rfam family "Bacterial small subunit ribosomal RNA", at positions 524 to 776 of the family's 1533-position model. The record is from RNAcentral.
UACGAGGGGGGCAAAUGUUGUUCGGAAUCACUGGGCGUAAAGGGAGCGUAGGCGGGUGUUUAAGUCAGGGGUGAAAUCCUGGAGCUCAACUCCAGAACUGCCUUUGAUACUGAGGAUCUUGAGUUCGGGAGAGGUGAGUGGAACUGCGAGUGUAGAGGUGAAAUUCGUAGAUAUUCGCAAGAACACCAGUGGCGAAGGCGGCUCACUGGCCCGAUACUGACGCUGAGGCACGAAAGCGUGGGGAGCAAACAGG